Molecule: ribosomal RNA, 253 nt
Filed under: uncultured bacterium
Lineage: Bacteria
Description: partial 16S ribosomal RNA
Rfam family: Bacterial small subunit ribosomal RNA
Source: RNAcentral
UACAGAGGUGGCAAGCGUUGUUCGGAAUUACUGGGCGUAAAGGGCGCGUAGGCGGUCUUGUAAGUCCCGUGUGAAAGCCCCCGGCUCAACUGGGGAAUGGCACGGGAAACUGCGAGGCUUGAGUUCGGGAGAGGGAAGCGGAAUUCCGGGUGUAGCGGUGAAAUGCGUAGAUAUCCGGAGGAACACCGGUGGCGAAGGCGGCUUCCUGGACCGACACUGACGCUGAGGCGCGAAAGCUAGGGGAGCAAACGGG